AAAGGAAUUGACGGGGGCCCGCACAAGCGGUGGAGCAUGUGGUUUAAUUCGAUGAUACGCGAGGAACCUUACCAGGGCUUGAACGCAUUAUGACCGUCCCGGAAACGGGAUUUCCUUCGGGCAUUCUGCGAGGUGCUGCAUGGUUGUCGUCAGCUCGUGCCGUGAGGUGUCAGGUUAAGUCCUAUAACGAGCGCAACCCCUACCGUUAGUUGCCAUCGGGUAAAGCCGGGGACUCUAGCGGGACUGCCGGUGCAAACCGCGAGGAAGGCGGGGACGACGUCAAAUCAUCACGGCCCUUACGCCCUGGGCCACACACGUGCUACAAUGGCCGGCACAACGGGCUGCCACGCCGCAAGGCGGAGCGAAUCCACAAAGCCGGUCACAGUUCGGAUCGGGGUCUGCAACCCGACCCCGUGAAGCUGGAAUCGCUAGUAAUCGGAUAUCAGCCAUGAUCCGGUGAAUACGUUCCCGGGCCUUGUACACACCGCCCGU
Molecule: ribosomal RNA, 492 nt
Filed under: uncultured bacterium
Lineage: Bacteria
Description: bacterial SSU rRNA
Rfam family: Bacterial small subunit ribosomal RNA
Source: RNAcentral